GACAGAGGGUGCAAACGUUGUUCGGAAUUACUGGGCAUAAAGAGCACGUAGGCGGCUCAUCAAGUCACGCGUGAAAUCCCCCGGCUCAACCGGGGAACUGCGUGCGAUACUGGUGAGCUUGAGGUCGGUAGGGGUGAGUGGAACUCCAGGUGGAGCGGUGAAAUGCGUAGAUAUCUGGAGGAACACCGGUGGCGAAGGCGACUCACUGGACCGAAUCUGACGCUGAGGUGCGAAAGCUAGGGUAGCAAAC
RNAcentral lists this ribosomal RNA (250 nucleotides) under uncultured bacterium. RNAcentral's name for it is "partial 16S ribosomal RNA". It matches the Rfam family "Bacterial small subunit ribosomal RNA", at positions 524 to 773 of the family's 1533-position model. The record is from RNAcentral.